UGGGGAAUAUUGCACAAUGGGCGCAAGCCUGAUGCAGCGACGCCGCGUGGGGGAUGACGGCCUUCGGGUUGUAAACUCCUUUCGCUAGGGACGAAGCGCAAGUGACGGUACCUAGAGAAGAAGCACCGGCUAACUACGUGCCAGCAGCCGCGGUAAUACGUAGGGUGCGAGCGUUGUCCGGAAUUACUGGGCGUAAAGAGCUCGUAGGUGGUUUGUCGCGUCGUUUGUGUAAGCCCGCAGCUUAACUGCGGGACUGCAGGCGAUACGGGCAUAACUUGAGUGCUGUAGGGGAGACUGGAAUUCCUGGUGUAGCGGUGGAAUGCGCAGAUAUCAGGAGGAACACCGAUGGCGAAGGCAGGUCUCUGGGCAGUAACUGACGCUGAGGAGCGAAAGCAUGGGGAGCGAACAGG
This 410-nucleotide ribosomal RNA is filed under the name uncultured Corynebacterium sp. Its description in RNAcentral is "bacterial SSU rRNA". It matches the Rfam family "Bacterial small subunit ribosomal RNA", at positions 355 to 776 of the family's 1533-position model. Lineage: Bacteria; Bacillati; Actinomycetota; Actinomycetes; Mycobacteriales; Corynebacteriaceae. The record is from RNAcentral.